UACGGGGGGGGUAAGCGUUGUUCGGAAUUACUGGGCGUAAAGGGCUCGUAGGCGGCCAACUAAGUCGGACGUGAAAUCCCUCAGCUUAACUGGGGAACUGCGUCCGAUACUGGAUGGCUUGGAUUUGGGAGAGGGAUGCGGAAUUCCAGGUGUAGCGGUGAAAUGCGUAGAUAUCUGGAGGAACACCGGUGGCGAAGGCGGGCUACUGGGCCGAUACUGACGCUGAGGCGCGAAAGCCAGGGGAGCAAACGGG
RNAcentral lists this ribosomal RNA (253 nucleotides) under uncultured bacterium. RNAcentral's name for it is "partial 16S ribosomal RNA". It matches the Rfam family "Bacterial small subunit ribosomal RNA", at positions 524 to 776 of the family's 1533-position model. The record is from RNAcentral.